UGGGGAAUAUUGGACAAUGGGGGGAACCCUGAUCCAGCCAUGCCGCGUGUGUGAAGAAGGCCUUUUGGUUGUAAAGCACUUUAAGCGAGGAGGAGGCUCCCAGUAUUAAUACUACUGGAGAGUGGACGUUACUCGCAGAAUAAGCACCGGCUAACUCUGUGCCAGCAGCCGCGGUAAUACAGAGGGUGCAAGCGUUAAUCGGAUUUACUGGGCGUAAAGCGUGCGUAGGUGGCCAAUUAAGCCAAAUGUGAAAUCCCCGAGCUUAACUUGGGAAUUGCAUUCGAUACUGGUUGGCUAGAGUAUGGGAGAGGAUGGUAGAAUUCCAGGUGUAGCGGUGAAAUGCGUAGAGAUCUGGAGGAAUACCGAUGGCGAAAGGCAGCCAUCUGGCCUAAUACUGACA
RNAcentral lists this ribosomal RNA (400 nucleotides) under uncultured bacterium. RNAcentral's name for it is "bacterial SSU rRNA". It matches the Rfam family "Bacterial small subunit ribosomal RNA", at positions 355 to 745 of the family's 1533-position model. The record is from RNAcentral.